This is an RNA transcript of Myzus persicae (green peach aphid), 2601 nucleotides long. RefSeq lists it as uncharacterized. Lineage: Eukaryota; Metazoa; Arthropoda; Insecta; Hemiptera; Aphididae. The transcript has 9 exons. The record is from RefSeq and is a predicted model, not a curated record.
CAGCUACUGAAAACCGAAUAAUAAAAUAUAUGGUCUUGACUUCGAGAAUUUGAGAAAUAAGUAAUAAUAAAAAUUCGCAAUUCAAAUGCUUCACUGGCAUUUACGCUUAAGAAUUAAAUUCAUGUAUCCAACAUGGAAAUCGAUGACGAAGAUGUUGUCGUAGACGGCACAGAUUUACACAAGUAUUUGAACACGGUUGGAUACUCUGAAUUUGAAGUUUCUAAACGAAAAUCUGUUGAAAACCUUUAUCCAACUGAAGGACGAAAAUGUUCAAGAAAAAUAAUAAGAUCAACCCAAAAUCAAAAGGAUUUUGGAUUGUGUGUAACAUUAAUCAAGAUAAUUAUGGAGAGCCAACUUAUUUUCAAAGAAGAUACUUUAUUUAUUAAGGAAUUUAUUCCAUCAGAACACAUUAAAUAUCCUCUAUUUCUUACAAAACGGAAAAGUAUUACUCUACUUAUAUUAUGCGUAUUCUGUGGUAUUAUGAAUAUUUUUUUUUCAAAAUACUGGGACGAAUGGACAACCGUCAGCAUGUUCAUUUUUUGGUUUGGUUGUGUGUUUAUGAAUGUACUGUAUGACCUAAAUCAAAAUAGAACAAUUAAAAAUACUGCAAUCAAAACUAUUCGAUCAAUGGAAAAAUUAUCUCUGCUGAUACAAAAGUCUACUCAUUUUCUUCAAGAAUGUAACAAUCUUCAUAAUAGUUGUUAUCAUACAUAUGCUGGUAAAAAUCCCGAUUCCUUCAAAUACUUAUUGAUGCCAGAAUUAAAAUCUUUACUUAUAACUAUGUUACAAGAUUUGAUCAAUAAUCUUGUAUAUAACAUAUCUGAUGUUCACACAUUUUUCCCAUUGAAAGAUUCUGUUUCCAACAUUGUUUAUUUGUACCGCACAGACUGCCAAAUUGAUUUAAAUAACACUUCAAUUGAAAAUAUAAACAAAGCCAAGUAUACUUAUUUUUUAUUGCAAUCAGAAUUUUUGAAACAAUCAGCAUUGUGUUUAUGUCCAUCAUUAUGGACUCCUCGCAGUUUUUUUCAUGUGAAUCGUCUAAUUAAAACUAUUGGUAAAAUUGAAGAAGUGUAUUCAAACUCAUGUGAUGUUCUUUAUGAUGAGUAUAAUGUUUAUUCGAUGUUUAAAAAUAAUACUAAAGAACACAGUAAGCAACCAGUUCAAGGAACAAACAUAAAUUCUGAUCUGAAAUUGAAGAUAUAUAGUAUUCGACAGUUUUUACAAAAUAUGAUGGUGCAUGUACGAUUCAUGGAAGACUCAAUUGAAAACUCUUCAGCUUACAAUAUUGAUGAUAUAAAUAGUACAUUGAAUGUUUUAGUAAAAGAAGUCAGUGUUUUUAAUGAACUUAUUUCAACUUUACAAAUUAACAUUCUAAAAAGAAAUAAUAAUCAAACAGAUAAAACUAUAUUAACUAAUGAUACUACUGGAGUAACUGACCAUAUAGAUACAGAGACCAAUGAACCAAUCAAAGAAGUCUGUGAAGAUGAAUUAUUUUUUGGUGUAUCUGAAGAAUCUACUGAAAAAAUGGACAAUACAUUUUGUAAUGAAGUAAUAUUUGAUAAGUCUAACAAUCAUAAUUUAAUGUUAGAACUGAAAGUGGCGCUUAAAGAUAAACAAGCAGAAUGGAAACAACGAGAAUGCAAGUUGUUAGAAAAACAUCCACAGUUAAAUGACUUGUCUGAUGACGAUGAAUGUAAUGAUACACAAGUCCAAUACCUAAAUAAAGUGCGUAAAGUAGCAUUAGACUUGCCUCCCGAUGAAAACUUUCCUAUGCAAUUGCCUGGUAAAAGCUUUGCUAGUGAAAUAGCCAUGGUUGCUUGUAAACGAAAUACAACAAUUGAUUGUUUUGGAGAUGAUUCUGAUUCAAAUUCGAGUAUAUCAAUAGACUCAAAUGACUCUUAAAUUUUAUUAAAACUAUCAGUUUAUUGCCAGAUUAUUGAAGACUAAUUAUGUUUUCAGUCUAUGCAAUAUGAUAAGUUCUGUUAAUCCAAUCAAAGUUGUACAUGUAACAUUAUCUUGGUUUACAAAAACAACACGUUACAUACAUUGAAGGAACUCUUUAAAGAUCUCCAUUUUAAUAUGCUCUACAACCAUUUGAAGCUAUCAACAAUUAACAUUUAUCACUGAAGAUGUGGACGAGAUUAAUAACAAUUCUAUACAAUUUUCAGCUUACUGGACAGAUAAAAUAUAACUGCAAAAAAGACCAGACACUAAAAGAAAAAGAAUUAAUCACUAAUUAUUUGUAUAAGUAUUCAAUAUUAAGAACAGAACUUGUUAUAAUAUCAUCAUUAAAAGUUUAUGUAUUAAUUAAUGGGUUCUGAAACCUUUAUUUAAGAUCAGUGACUGAAAAAAUGCUGUUACAAACACUUUCCCAAAAGACUGGGCACUGGGAUACGCAUUUCUAACCAUAAUGUAACAUUUUUUUGGAUUCAAAUAGCCAGGAGACCAUUUAAUGCACACCUGUACUAAAAUCUUUGCAUUCUAUGAAGAUUUUUUAUCUUUGACAAUUAUAUAAACAAAUAUAAAUAAGUUGAUCAAUGUUGAAUCUAUCAUAUUCAAAAAUUGUAUGUAAUUUAAAGAAUAAAGAUACACAAAUAUUCA